Molecule: long non-coding RNA, 561 nt
Organism: Columba livia (rock pigeon)
Lineage: Eukaryota; Metazoa; Chordata; Aves; Columbiformes; Columbidae
Exons: 3
Source: RefSeq, a predicted model, not a curated record
AAGAUGGCAGGCGUCCACACACCUUUCAGAGCCUGUUCCUUCUAUUGUGUCAGCAAACAAUAGCCUCCGUGCUAAUCUGUGAAUCUCCUCAGGCUCUCUUCAUGCCUUUACCAUCCUGCUUCCCCAGCCCAAGUUACCUACUCCACUAUUUACAGCCUUCUGAACAGCCCGGUUAUUUCUCUGCAUGCUCUGCAAGAAGUUUCUUCUGCUCUCCACAGAAGUCCUCUGACCAUCGACUCAUCCAUCUCCCACAGAUCUGCCUCCUGCCCAGUAUUACCUGUCAAAGCUUUUCCUACCAACAUGCUGCAUAUCUUAGGGUUCAUACUUCAUCUCCAGUAUUACCUGAGUCUCCAAUGACACCAGUGAUUUGGCAAAUUGGGGCAUGAGAGCUGCCAGAUUUGAAAGAGGUGCUGAGUCUUGAGAUUCAUCUACAACCAUGUUAAAGGUAUCUAAAACAUUCUAACCAGUAAUUUGCAAACUGACCCCAAAGAUGCAAGACCUGGUUUGGACUACAAACAUCACAUGUAGUAAAUGUAUGAAUGACAACUUGAUAUGAACUAA